GAUGAACGCUGGCGGUAUGCUUAACACAUGCAAGUCGAACGGACUCUUCGGAGUUAGUGGCGGACGGGUGAGUAACGCGUGAGAAUCUGGCUUUGGGUUCGGGACAACCACUGGAAACGGUGGCUAAUACCGGAUGUGCCGAGAGGUAAAAGAGAAAUUGCCUGAAGAUGAGCUCGCGUCUGAUUAGCUAGUUGGUGAGGUAAAGGCUCACCAAGGCAGCGAUCAGUAGCUGGUCUGAGAGGAUGACCAGCCACACUGGGACUGAGACACGGCCCAGACUCCUACGGGAGGCAGCAGUGGGGAAUUUUCCGCAAUGGGCGAAAGGCUGACGGAGCAAUACCGCGUGAGAGAAGAAGGCUCUUGGGUUGUAAACCUCUUUUCUUAGGGAAGAACAAAAUGACGGUACCUAAGGAAUCAGCAUCGGCUAACUCCGUG
This 435-nucleotide ribosomal RNA is filed under the name uncultured bacterium. RNAcentral's name for it is "partial 16S ribosomal RNA". It matches the Rfam family "Bacterial small subunit ribosomal RNA", at positions 28 to 507 of the family's 1533-position model. The record is from RNAcentral.